CAGCAGCAUCAGCAAUAUAACACCGACACAUCCUUUAAAUCCCCUCUUCUUCUUCAAGCUCCCAUCACUCCAAUCAAGGAAAAUCUGCCAAAUUUCUUGGCUUUUGCAGACCCAACAAAUUCAAUUAUCUUCUCCAUCACUUCAAGUUCUUAAAAAUGAAGACUUUUUGCUCCUUUUACUUCUUUCUUUUCCAUUUUUUGAAUUUUGAAUUUUAGCUUCUUGAAAAAGCUGUUGGAGUUAUAUUUUUGCCUAUAAAUAUAGCCUCAUAUUCAUUCAUUAAAAGGAGGAGGAGGGAGAUAUAAAGUUCACUGUUUCUAUUAUUUGAUUUCUUUUCCUAAUUGCAUUCAAAUUUGAGUUCGAAUCAUCGAAGGAAACCCCCUAGUUCGUUGCCCCAAAAAAGGAGGGUUGACAGAAGCGCUUCCUAUCAGAGAGGGUUACUUUACAGCUUGUCUUUACCUGUGGUACAAUACUGACACCCUUCCAGUUGGGGUUACAGGUUAGACCCCACCAGUUUAGUAUUGGGGCAUGUCAGUCAGAUGAUUACCUCCCACAGUUUCAAUUUCAAAUCCAGUUUCAGUAAUAGAACUCAGUUCAGUUCUACAAAAAUCUAGGACUGUCAGAUACAGUCAAAUCAGUACAUUACGGAACCCAGCUAGUUUCAUCAGUAUCAGGUUUAGAAGCACGAGAUCCCGAGCAUCCUUAGUAGAUUAGACGUUCAGCAGCCAGACUAGAAAGUUCGUUUAGAGUCUUAUGGCUUGAGUCCAUCUCUUGCCAAAUCAGAGAAGCGAACAAAUAUUGCAUCACAUAUUUCCAUCUAACAGUCUGGAUAAAUAGGACUGGAGAAGGAAAGUGUUGAAUAUUGGAUAAAAAGGGCAUCAGAUAUCACAGCUAAAAUUGUGGGAUCUGACCUUGGUCAUGCCAAGACUACCGUAACAUGAUCCAGAUGGUGAUUCUCAGGUGUUGCAUAGACAAGAAUCUCCUAUGAUCGAACAUUAAUCAUAUGAUAGUACCAUAUAAUCUUGAUAAGGGCGAAUAGAAACAUGCUUGCAGAAGCUAAAUGAAAAAAGGCUCAGAUGAUAGCAUCCCACGACCAUACUUUGAAGUCACGAUCAUGCCAUAAGGUCAUGGGAAGUAACUCUAGAUUUGCAAGUUUCAUAAGUUGACGUGUAGGAUGAUCAAACGACAAUAUUAUGAAGUGUAAGUUGAUACAGUGAAGCCCUACUGAGAGUUGUACCGGUGAAUAUCCAAAGGUGAUUAAAUUUAUGAGUAAACCACAUGCACCAAGGGAUAAUCGUGGGUUCUAACCAUGAUUGUACCUUCCUUCCUUCCGAGAUAGCCAACUCAGAUUUCUUGCUUUAUUUAGGCUAGGACUUAUUUUAUCUAUAAAUACUCUUAUAUGGUUAUUUGUACGAGUUUACACUAUAUUUACAACUUUAUAUUAUGAGAUUUUAAGACAUAUUCUUGGAAUUUCACAAACAUCAUUUCUAGGUUUUAAUUCAAGUUGAAAUUUUGGAGUUUUA
This is a long non-coding RNA of Capsicum annuum, 1520 nucleotides long. RefSeq lists it as uncharacterized. Lineage: Eukaryota; Viridiplantae; Streptophyta; Magnoliopsida; Solanales; Solanaceae. The transcript has 5 exons. The record is from RefSeq and is a predicted model, not a curated record.